RNAcentral lists this ribosomal RNA (245 nucleotides) under uncultured bacterium. RNAcentral describes it as "partial 16S ribosomal RNA". It matches the Rfam family "Bacterial small subunit ribosomal RNA", at positions 15 to 257 of the family's 1533-position model. The record is from RNAcentral.
GAUCAUGCUCAGGAUGAACGCUAGCGGCAGGCUUAACACAUGCAAGUCGAGGGGCAGCGGGGAGUAGCAAUACUCCGCCGGCGACCGGCGCACGGGUGCGCAACGCGUAUGCAACCUACCUUUAACAGGGGCAUAACACUGAGAAAUUGGUACUAAUUCCCCAUAACAUUCGAGAAGGCAUCUUCUUGGGUUAAAAACUCCGGUGGUUAAAGAUGGGCAUGCGUUGUAUUAGCUAGUUGGUGAGG